Liolophura sinensis is the source of this 2942-nucleotide long non-coding RNA. RefSeq lists it as uncharacterized. The record is from RefSeq and is a predicted model, not a curated record. The transcript has 4 exons. NCBI's taxonomy places the organism in Eukaryota, Metazoa, Mollusca, Polyplacophora, Chitonida, Chitonidae.
UAUGUGUGGCGGUGUGCUUUGGUUUACUUCUUCUAAACCGUCGCACAUUUGGCGACAGGAGCGGCACAAACCCAACUAACAAAAUUUACAUGCAUAUUAAAUGAAUUUGACCUCUGCAUUGCCCAGGGUCAAUACUGAUUAUGAUAAGAACUUUGAUUUUGUUGAUGAUGUGAAUUUGGAAUGGAAAGUGUUGAAAUUUGAUCUCUGCACCGCCCAGGGUCAGUACCGGUAGGGCCUACUAUUACUGAUUAUGAGCUUAACUUUGAUUUUGUCGAUAAUGUGAAUUUCAAAUUUAAAGUUUUAAAGUUUGACCUCUGCACCGCCCAGGGUCAAUACUGAUGAUGAACUUUGACUUUGUUGAUGAUGUGAACUUUGAUAUUGAACUGUUGUUUGAAUGCUUGAUUUGAGGGCUUGUCAUUGUCUUGUCGACAGCCCGACUUAAAAUGAUUUGACCUCUGCACCGCCCAGGGUCAAGACUCAUAACAACCAGCCGUGGACAUAUCAUGCCAAUUUUUAAAAUAAAAGAAAAAGUAAAAUUUAAACAUAUUUAUUGUUUUUGUCUUUAUCUUUUCUCAGAUAACUACAUUUCGGUCGACUCAGGGUAUUAGUGCCUACCAAAUGUAAGUGAUAGGCCACCUUUCCUCAACCGUUAUGGCACUCCACAUUGCUACUCUCUACCUUACAGUGACAGGCAAUACCUUUCUUCAACUGCUAUGGCGCUCCACAUUGCUACUCUCUACAGGUAUUCACAGGUUUGGAGUCCGCGCUUCUACCACUAGACUAAAGGGAACUUCCCUUUUAGCCCGGAGUUGCAGUUAAACGUCACUUUGUCCUGGUUCGGGCAUUUCUCUGGACAUUUGAUUCCUGGACACUCUACCUUCGGACACUGUACUGUCGGGCAGUGUAGCUUUGGACAAUGGACAACUGGACAAAAGUUGGUAAAAGUGGCUGGGGUAUUGGUUCUCCUGUUGCCCUGAGAAGUGCAACUAUCCAAACACAAGACGGCUAACACAAUCACUGCGCUACAGCUGUGGAGCCACAUUUUCUUUGGCUGAUCAAGAAGAAAUCAGAUAGUAAAAUGACAACAUCGCCACCCAAAACUAACACAAUAUUCCGUCUAAAUGAAUGUUUUCAAAAAAAAAAUGUUUAUGCCACAAACCUACGUGUAGGGCUAUGUCACGAGGCUAGAUGUCGAUGACUCAAAGCGAUGGGACGAUGGCACGGAACCAUGGGGAGAUGGCACGAAGCGAUAGGAAGAUGGCACGAAGCCAUGGGGACAUGGCACAAAGAGAUGGUGCGAUGGCAAAAAGCCAUGAGAAGAUGGCACGAAGCCAUGGAGAGAUGGUACAAAGAGAUGGGACGAUAAAUACGAUGGUAUCUCGUAUCAUCGUUCCAUUGCUUGUGCAAUUAUCCCAUUGCAAUGAGUCAUCAUCACAUCGCCCUGUGCAAUCGUCACAAUUCGUCCCUUAGACACUUCUCCGUCCCUGUAGAACAAAAAGCGAAAGCAUAAUACUAUCGUCACAUUGCUUCGUGCAAUUGUUCCAUCGCCCUGUCCCAUCGUGCUACCUCCUCGUUCCUUCGCUCUUCGUACCUUCGAUGAUGGCCAUAACCGUAUUUGAAGGACUUUAUCUGGGAGUGAAUUGACAGGACUCCUAUCGGUAUUGUAUAGCUAAUUGCAUCCAUGGCCUGUCCUGUUAAUGAGGUGUUGUAAAUAUACAGAUUAUUUGCUAAUGGUAGUGAUUUCUAGAUUGGAAUCUGGUCACUUUAUCACUUGAUACCUGAAUCUUAGGAACAUUGAUAAUAAAUGGAAUAAGUCCAAAGUUUAGCAAUAAGAAAGAAGCAGCGAGACAUCCCGGUGUUUGUUCUCCAUUCCGUUAAGCUUUACCCGGGAUCCUUAACAUAUACAUAGUAACUACAUAAGGUCCGUUAAAUGUUAAAGACUUACCUAUCUGUCCAAGUAGAUAGAAAGGAGUCGAGAAGAUAGAAAAGAAAAUCCUGGAUCUUUUAUACUAAGGCAGAAAUUGGUUGAAAGUUCCUGUGUGUCUUGUAUAUAAUAUAUGUAUAUAAAUAUUUGCCCGAAGGGUGAAGAUUUUUACAUAUUAAAAAAACAUACACGUUGACAUAAAACUUAAUUUGUCAAAUUAUAAAACCUUAUCAAUUUCCAGUCUAUAUCCAGUAGCAGCCCAGGAUUAAUCACCUUGUCAAGCCAACUGACAGACCCCACACAGGAUGAGCAGACAACCGUGGAGCAAGGAUACAACAAUGCGGAGCUUAAAGGAGUGCUGUCAACAUCUUAAUAAUUGCCUUAUAACGAAUCUGCAUGUUUGUUUAUCGCCUCACACGCUUCCCGCGGCGACGAUCGGCUCUCCCGACCCCAGAGCCGAGUUGAUGAGGUGCCCGUCACGUGAUGACACCGUAAGAAAUGGCCCAUACUGAACAACAUUGUUCACUUAUACCAAAUCAAAUAAUGUCAGACUGUGAAACAGACAUACUGGAAAUUCCAAUGUGUAUGCCACCUAUCGACCCGUACAUGUAUGAUUCUAUACGAACCGAUUCAGCGCGUGGAGCCCAAAAAAUCAGCCCAGUAAACCGCUCCCCUCAUUUGUCUGACAGCGAGUCUGACCACGGCGACAGCAGUCAGAAACCAAAGAUUUUCGGACCGACAACUUGAGCUGAUAACUACAUUUUAUAUCAGUUAAUUCCUUGCCAUUUUGCCAUUUCCUACCACUGUAAUGGUGGCCACUGUGGUAUAAGUGAAAUAUUCUUGAGUAUGGCUUAAAUCGCCAAUCAAAUAAAUAAAUAAAUUCCUUUGCUAUUCAAGACCAUAUACAUCCCGGCAUUAGUGGUUUUUCUCGAGCCAACGCGCUGUGCCCACGUAGACACGGCGGUGAAAACAUUGUCAAAAUAACAUGAGAGUUAAUACAGACCUCUGAAUCUGGUAA